AGAGUUUGAUCCUGGCUCAGGACGAACGCUGGCGGCGUGCCUAACACAUGCAAGUCGAACGGAACUGUUUUGAAAGAUUUCUUCGGAAUGAAUUUGAUUUAGUUUAGUGGCGGACGGGUGAGUAACGCGUGAGUAACCUGCCUUCAAGAGGGGGAUAACAUUCUGAAAAGAAUGCUAAUACCGCAUGACAUAUCGGAAUCACAUGAUUUUGAUAUCAAAGAUUUUAUCGCUUGAAGAUGGACUCGCGUCCGAUUAGUUAGUUGGUGAGGUAACGGCUCACCAAGACCGCGAUCGGUAGCCGGACUGAGAGGUUGAACGGCCACAUUGGGACUGAGACACGGCCCAGACUCCUACGGGAGGCAGCAGUGGGGGAUAUUGCGCAAUGGGGGCAACCCUGACGCAGCAACGCCGCGUGAAGGAUGAAGGUUUUCGGAUUGUAAACUUCUUUUAUUAAGGACGAAAAUUGACGGUACUUAAUGAAUAAGCUCCGGCUAACUACGUGCCAGCAGCCGCGGU
RNAcentral lists this ribosomal RNA (516 nucleotides) under Ruminococcus sp. CO47. Its description in RNAcentral is "bacterial SSU rRNA". It matches the Rfam family "Bacterial small subunit ribosomal RNA", at positions 8 to 521 of the family's 1533-position model. The record is from RNAcentral. Lineage: Bacteria; Bacillati; Bacillota; Clostridia; Eubacteriales; Oscillospiraceae.